This 30-nucleotide non-coding RNA is filed under the name Mus musculus (house mouse). The record is from RNAcentral. Lineage: Eukaryota; Metazoa; Chordata; Mammalia; Rodentia; Muridae.
UGCCAAGCCUGGUGUCCUGAGUUCAGACCU